UGUCUUCAGGGCAGGGUGCAAUUCCCUACCGGUGGUAAAGCCCACGAGCCGCAAGGCAUGAUUCGGUGUAACUCCGAAGCCGACAGUAAAGUCUGGAUGAAAGAAGAU
This 108-nucleotide non-coding RNA is filed under the name uncultured Roseburia sp. RNAcentral's name for it is "FMN riboswitch (RFN element)". It matches the Rfam family "FMN riboswitch aptamer (RFN element)". Rfam says of the family: The RFN element is a highly conserved domain that is found frequently in the 5'-untranslated regions of prokaryotic mRNAs that encode for flavin mononucleotide (FMN) biosynthesis and transport proteins. Lineage: Bacteria; Bacillati; Bacillota; Clostridia; Lachnospirales; Lachnospiraceae. The record is from RNAcentral.